Molecule: ribosomal RNA, 509 nt
Filed under: uncultured bacterium
Lineage: Bacteria
Description: partial 16S ribosomal RNA
Rfam family: Bacterial small subunit ribosomal RNA
Source: RNAcentral
GACGAACGCUGGCGGCGUGCUUAACACAUGCAAGUCGAACGAAGAGCGAUGGAAGCUUGCUUCUAUCAAUCUUAGUGGCGAACGGGUGAGUAACGCGUAAUCAACCUGCCCUUCAGAGGGGGACAACAGUUGGAAACGACUGCUAAUACCGCAUACGAUCUAAUCUCGGCAUCGAGGAUAGAUGAAAGGUGGCCUCUACAUGUAAGCUAUCACUGAAGGAGGGGAUUGCGUCUGAUUAGCUAGUUGGAGGGGUAACGGCCCACCAAGGCGAUGAUCAGUAGCGGGUCUGAGGGGUUGACCGGCCACAUUGGGACUGAGCCCGGGCCAGACUUCCUCGGGAAGGCACCGUUGGGAAUCUUCCGCAAUAGACGAAAGUCUGACGGAGCAACGCCGCGUGAGUGAUGACGGCCUUCGGGUUGUAAAGCUCUGUUAAUCGGGACGAAAGGCCUUCUUGCGAAUAGUGAGAAGGAUUGACGGUACCGGAAUAGAAAGCCACGGCUAACUACGUG